UACGGGGGGGGGCAAGCGUUGUUCGGAAUUACUGGGCGUAAAGGGCGCGUAGGCGGCCUGCUAAGUCGGAUGUGAAAUCCCUCGGCUCAACCGAGGAACUGCAUCCGAUACUGGCGGGCUUGAAUCCGGGAGAGGGAUGUGGAAUUCCAGGUGUAGCGGUGAAAUGCGUAGAUAUCUGGAGGAACACCGGUGGCGAAGGCGGCAUCCUGGACCGGUAUUGACGCUGAGGCGCGAAAGCUAGGGGAGCAAAGCGGG
RNAcentral lists this ribosomal RNA (255 nucleotides) under uncultured bacterium. RNAcentral describes it as "partial 16S ribosomal RNA". It matches the Rfam family "Bacterial small subunit ribosomal RNA", at positions 524 to 777 of the family's 1533-position model. The record is from RNAcentral.